AUUAAAAUUGGCCCACCUAUAUUCUGCCUAAAUACUUGACCCAUUCCAUUAUUGUUAUAACAUAUAAAUAGAGUAGUAGGGUUUCCUAAUUCCAUUCCUUCUAGUUUCUGCCGCUUCAAACCUAGCGCACAUGUAAAUAUUUCCCCUUCCUUUAUUGAAUCAAAGUUUCAUCAAGUAUAUUAUGUAUCAUCAAUACCUUUCCAUGGAGAUGCAUAUCUGUUGCUCAUUUCAGCUUUCAGAAUUGUGUUUUUCAAUUGAUGGGAGGAAUCUCAUGUUUUUUGUAUUUUGCUGAGGGUUCGAGGUCCGUAGAAAGAAUUCCAGAUCCAAUUAUGGCCGGUAAAAAGAUAAUGGGAUGCUCACAACCGCAAGUAAUUGAACUGUAAUGUUGUUCUGAAGUGUAAGAAUUGCAAAAAUCUUCCAAGACCCUCCUCUUUUGCUGUGAUUCCUUUUUGAUGGUUGAUAUAGUCUAGGCUAGCAAACUUUUUCACCUUUUUUGUUGCCCGUAGGGUUGUAAAUAGUUGCAUAUGAAAUGUGAACUCUGUAAGCUGUAUCCUCUUCAGCCUUGUCACUCUCUUGUUGUUGUAAUCCUUAUGUAAGGACAUUGAAAUUUAUCAUUGUUAAGGAUCUUUCUAUCUA
Molecule: long non-coding RNA, 636 nt
Organism: Capsicum annuum
Lineage: Eukaryota; Viridiplantae; Streptophyta; Magnoliopsida; Solanales; Solanaceae
Exons: 3
Source: RefSeq, a predicted model, not a curated record